This 465-nucleotide ribosomal RNA is filed under the name Vreelandella stevensii. RNAcentral's name for it is "partial 16S ribosomal RNA". It matches the Rfam family "Bacterial small subunit ribosomal RNA", at positions 338 to 795 of the family's 1533-position model. The record is from RNAcentral. Lineage: Bacteria; Pseudomonadati; Pseudomonadota; Gammaproteobacteria; Oceanospirillales; Halomonadaceae.
CCUACGGGAGGCAGCAGUGGGGAAUAUUGGACAAUGGGCGAAAGCCUGAUCCAGCCAUGCCGCGUGUGUGAAGAAGGCCUUCGGGUUGUAAAGCACUUUCAGUGGGGAAGAAAGCCUUGGGGCUAAUACCCUCGAGGAAGGACAUCACCCACAGAAGAAGCACCGGCUAACUCCGUGCCAGCAGCCGCGGUAAUACGGAGGGUGCGAGCGUUAAUCGGAAUUACUGGGCGUAAAGCGCGCGUAGGCGGUCUGAUAAGCCGGUUGUGAAAGCCCCGGGCUCAACCUGGGAACGGCAUCCGGAACUGUCAGGCUAGAGUGCAGGAGAGGAAGGUAGAAUUCCCGGUGUAGCGGUGAAAUGCGUAGAGAUCGGGAGGAAUACCAGUGGCGAAGGCGGCCUUCUGGACUGACACUGACGCUGAUGUGCGAAAGCGUGGGUAGCAAACAGGAUUAGAUACCCCGGUAGUC